GUUCAACAGCCUGUUUCAAGCAGAGAUUUCAAAUUGAGCUGAGAAGUUACAAAACACAAAAAGCUGAUGCCGAUGGGGGAAUAUGAUGAAAGAUGGGAAAGUUGAACGCCUGACUUGGACCUUCUGGCCCCUCGAGUGAAAGUUCUAACCAAGGUAGUAGAAAACUACAAGGCUUGUUGCACGCUCAAGUGUCGGUCGAGUGAGAGCAAGGAUGCAGGACAAGCUCUGCAGGUAAGUGUUCAAUGAUGUC
Long non-coding RNA from Synchiropus splendidus (mandarinfish), 250 nucleotides. RefSeq lists it as uncharacterized. Lineage: Eukaryota; Metazoa; Chordata; Actinopteri; Syngnathiformes; Callionymidae. The transcript is spliced from 3 exons. The record is from RefSeq and is a predicted model, not a curated record.